RNAcentral lists this ribosomal RNA (490 nucleotides) under uncultured bacterium. Its description in RNAcentral is "partial 16S ribosomal RNA". It matches the Rfam family "Bacterial small subunit ribosomal RNA", at positions 30 to 507 of the family's 1533-position model. The record is from RNAcentral.
AUUGAACGCUGGCGGCAGGCCUAACACAUGCAAGUCGAACGGUAACAGGAAGACGCUUGCUUCUUUGCUGACGAGUGGCGGACGGGUGAGUAAUGUCUGGGAAACUGCCUGAUGGAGGGGGAUAACUACUGGAAACGGUAGCUAAUACCGCAUAACGUCGCAAGACCAAAGAGGGGGACCUUCGGGCCUCUGGCCAUCGGAUGUGCCCAGAUGGGAUUAGCUAGUAGGUGGGGGAACGGCUCACCUAGGCGGCGAUCCCUAGCUGGUCUGAGAGGAUGACCAGCCACACUGGAACUGAGACACGGUCCAGACUCCUACGGGAGGCAGCAGUGGGGAAUAUUGCACGAUGGGCGCAAGCCUGAUGCAGCCAUGCCGCGUGUAUGAAGAAGGCCUUCGGGUUGUAAAGUACUUUCAGCGGGGAGGAAGGGAGUAAAGUUAAUACCUUUGCUCAUUGACGUUACCCGCAGAAGAAGCUCCGGCUAACUCCGUG